GAGACUUCAUGCUCUUCGCAGCCACAAAUUUUAAAAGGUGGCAACCCCAACCCAACAAAAAACCAGCAAAAAACCCACCAAAACUGGAAGAGCUUUAGAACUAGGUGCAAGGGCCUUUUUGUGAGGUCCCCUAGAGCAGGGGCUGCCUACAUGAAGCCCAGUGCUUGAGGAAUUCAGAGGCUUCUGAAAAAGGAUGCCUUAAUAUGGAGUCAUUCACUCAAAUGGGGAUAUUAAAAACUGUAAGUGAAGCUUUUAAUUUUGGGGGCCAGUUAAUUUCUUUAGGGGCCAUGAAGAUGAUCUAUAUCUUCAGGCAAAAGUUCAGGGAUCAAAAACUUCAUCUUCCUAUUGUAAAAAAGGGGCUGCUGCUCAGCCCAAGUAGCAGGUUUAUGUCAUGAAUUUAGAGGAGAUAUUUCUGUUUCCUGCUUGGCUGGGUACAGAGAAGAACCUGAGAGAAUAAGCAUUGUGAAGCCUGCAGUAUAACAGUGAGAACACUUGCAAAAACAAGUGCAAAAUGUGC
This is a long non-coding RNA of Passer domesticus (house sparrow), 517 nucleotides long. RefSeq lists it as uncharacterized. The record is from RefSeq and is a predicted model, not a curated record. Lineage: Eukaryota; Metazoa; Chordata; Aves; Passeriformes; Passeridae. The transcript has 3 exons.